CUUUUUCGUACAGUAUGUCUGUCAGCCUACAAGAGGGAAAUCAAUUUUUGAUCAGGUGCUAUGUAAUGAUUCUGACUGAAUUUGCGACAUAGAGGAGCUCUCUGAGCUACACCUGGUCAACCCCCUCUGAUGGCUCAAGUUACAGCUCCAGCAAGCACCCGGGGCACAUGACAACAGACCGCACUCAUUUAUAGCUGGUAUGUGAGAGCUACAUUUCCAAGAAGAUGGUGUCCUUUGGGUUCAAAGCACUAUUGGACAUGAUACAUCAAUCAAUAACCAGAAACAACUCCCAUGAUGACCUUUCCCUCCGUUUCCACACAAGAUCAUCCGAAGGACCAUCUGUUACCAUUAUUCCUGGACUGUAUUUGGAAUGAAUGUAAAGACCACAUGCCUGCAUCAUUCAUCUUGAUCGUGCAAUGACUCCCUGGAGGACUGGCCAGCCACCCUAUCACACACUUUAAUCAAAUGCACUCAGAGCUCUGUGACAGCGCUCUGUCAAUGGCAGAGAAUCCUCCCGCCCCUCUAUUGGCACAUAAUUGCUCCUUCUGCUCCUUUCCACCUUCCCACAUGCGUCUCUGCGCCACAUCAAGUCUUUCUUUGAAUCUUGUUGCACAAACAUGAAAACUUGAAUUGAAAGUAGUUUCACUAGUUUGAGCUUUUCAUGUCCUUGUGUCAAAAAUAUCUUGAAUUAUUUCUGAAUACCUUAACAUAUUUUUAAGGCAUUGCCAUUGCCAGAAAUUAUUUCUGAACACCUCAAGAUAUUUUCUGGCAUUGACAUUCCCAGAAACUAUUUAUAAAUAUGUCAACAUGUUUUUAAGGCAUUGACAUUGCCAGACAUGUUGAUUGUUUGCCUCUCUUCCACAUAAUGCUGAAAGUUUUCUUAUUUGGACCAAAAUAACCAUACUGUAACUAAUGAGGGAAGAGCUUCUUUUGAGAACAGGGCAUAUCAGUGCCAAGAAUUUCUUCAGUACCUGCACCUCAACAGUGAGUCAGUAUUCACCAGCUCAGAAAUGGCUCUCACUGCAGUCUGCGAUUGCAGAUAAUCAACAGCUGCUUAUUUGGGGAAGGUUCCUUUUCUAAAUUGGACCUGACUCAGACAAAUCGCCAUAUUUCUUGGUGACAGACUAAUGGGUUAACAAGGCUGAAAGCUCUUCAUUUCCUGAAACUUUCUGCCGAUGCUUUUAAUGAUUGCGCAUGUCUAUUUUCAAAAAAAGCUAAACCCAGUCUGUAUUUGCAGAAACACUGUUUGACCUAUGUUGUUUUUGAAAAGCAAUGAGAGAUGUGGGUGCUGAAAUGAAUUCUGCUGGCUAACAACAGAAACCCAUGGAGGACGGA
Molecule: long non-coding RNA, 1335 nt
Organism: Anguilla rostrata (American eel)
Lineage: Eukaryota; Metazoa; Chordata; Actinopteri; Anguilliformes; Anguillidae
Exons: 4
Source: RefSeq, a predicted model, not a curated record